AGUACUUGAUGAAAAGUGACUGGGCUGUAAUAACACACAGAGGCAGAGUUGUGGCUUUGAGUACUGAUACAGAUAUCCAGAAAUUGCUGCAGGCCUGUGAAUACAGGCACGGCUGGAGUGAGUAAAGUUUGUUACCGACAACCAAGGACACACAGGCUGAAUGUUCACGAGACCUGAGGUGGGAGGAUAAACUCACGAAGAUUUGGCAGGAGUUAGAUCCUAUCCAGAGUCUCUCUCAUCUCUGCAUACACCUCUAUGGAAACCUGUGGGGAAGGGACAGUACUUAUUUUGCAUAUUAUUCUAAUUAUGCUGCCUGGUGCAGAAAGGCACAACCAAAGGUUGUAUCCUGAAGCAACUCAAGGUGAGUAACUACAUCAUUCAAUUGGGGUGAAUAACUACUGUACCUCAUUCAAUUAAGGAGAGGUCCAGUGAUACCCCUCUCCUCAGCGGCAUCCUCCAUUUUGUUUCUCACAGAUGACAGCCAGACUGAUCAUGUUUCUGACUAUUUCACCUGCAGUGUGGACAGGACUCACUAUAGCUGAAGAUGGAAAGGCUGCUGCUGGGUACCCAUGAAGACUGUACCACUAUUGCCAUCUAUAGAAGGCACAAGCGCUACCGUGACAAACUGCUGAUAAUUAAGUUUACCAAUGUUGAAUACUGAAAGGUGGACAUUAGAGAGUGCUAAAGGGGUUAUGUCUCACAAUUAAAUGGGGCCCUAUUUUCUGCAA
Long non-coding RNA from Pseudophryne corroboree (corroboree frog), 728 nucleotides. RefSeq lists it as uncharacterized. The record is from RefSeq and is a predicted model, not a curated record. The transcript is spliced from 3 exons. NCBI's taxonomy places the organism in Eukaryota, Metazoa, Chordata, Amphibia, Anura, Myobatrachidae.